This 118-nucleotide ribosomal RNA is filed under the name Labrus bergylta (ballan wrasse). The record is from RNAcentral. Lineage: Eukaryota; Metazoa; Chordata; Actinopteri; Labriformes; Labridae.
GCUUACGGCCAUACCACCCUGAACAUGCCCGAUCUCGUCCGAUCUGGAAGCUAAGCAGGGUCGGGCCUGGUUAGUACUUGGAUGGGAGACCGCCUGGGAAUACCAGGUGCUGUAAGCU